GUUGCUAUUAGACAUGGUGUUUGUAAUUUGGAGGUUUUUUCUUUUUUCAAUUUCAACAAUAUUCUCUACAGCAUUUUAAAAUAGCACUAAUGUGGAAAACAACCCAUUUAUCUUAAAUAAUUCAUUUAUAAUGAAUUCAGUUAUAAGACUACAUGUAUAGGGAAGGGUUGGGAUUUCCCAAAAUAUGUUUAACCAUGCCACAUUUUUUAACCUGUCCCAGGCCAAGAAGCUCUUGCUAUGCUAGUCUUGUGUGCUUAUACAAUUGUUAGUUCAUUUGUAUCUUCAGGAGUUUAAUGUGUUGUCUUUUUCACUGAACUAAGAUACAUUAUUGUAAUGGGGCUAGUUGAUGCCUGCCUCUGGUUUAGGGAUUUUAUCAUAAGAAAAGACCCAUUGGUGGCCUUGGGUUGUUUUCUGUUCUCUUUGAGGCAUUCACCAUUCCAUGUUAUAAGAACUAUUUAGACAGCAACAUGAUAUAACAAAUAUAGCACCAUGGUAUCAUGGUGUUAUAAGCAUGAUCAGGUCCUGGAGGAAAACACUAUAUUCAUAUGAAAAAUGAAGAAAAUAAAUGGGGAAUGAGUCCAUGUGACUCAGAUGAUGCCCUCGCUUCCAUACAACAUGAUAAAGGGACAUAACUGAAAAACAGUAAAAUUGAUACUUCCUUGAUUCAACCUUAAUUUCUGUGUCAUUUGGUCGCAUGUGGAGAGUUGUCUCAUUGGCAAUCAUACCAC
RNAcentral lists this long non-coding RNA (728 nucleotides) under Mytilus galloprovincialis (Mediterranean mussel). The record is from RNAcentral. Lineage: Eukaryota; Metazoa; Mollusca; Bivalvia; Mytilida; Mytilidae.